Molecule: ribosomal RNA, 799 nt
Filed under: Aphytis chilensis
Lineage: Eukaryota; Metazoa; Arthropoda; Insecta; Hymenoptera; Aphelinidae
Description: partial 28S ribosomal RNA
Rfam family: Eukaryotic large subunit ribosomal RNA
Source: RNAcentral
CCGUUCAGGGGUAAACCUGAGAAACCCAAAAGAUCGAAUGGGGAGAUUCAUCGCAAACGGAAUCGAUUCCCGUGCGGUACGCGAUGGCCGGUGCUUCGGUGCCGCGUCACGCUGUCGCUGCGGUAUUAUCGACUACGUCGGCGUGCACUUCUCCCCUAGUAGGACGUCGCGACCCGUUGGGUGCCGGCCUACGGCCCGGUUGGUCGACUGUCGCGUCGCGUUCACGCGCGUUCGCGGCAGACCAUCGGUCGCCUGGCCGGCUGCCCGGCGGUAUAGAUCAUUAUUGAACGGUAUUGGGCCGCAUUAUGUGCGUCCUGGCUCGUCGGCAGGCUCGCCUCGCUCGGUAUUACGGACCUAGCGCCGUUGCCGAGCGCUCGGUGGGCCGUUAGUCGACGAUGUCCUCGGACUGGCUCGAGCAUUCGAACGGAUGUACCGGUCGGCGACGCUACUGCUUUGGGUACUUUCAGGACCCGUCUUGAAACACGGACCAAGGAGUCUAACAUGUGCGCGAGUCAUUGGGACUUGAUAAGCCUAAAGGCGUAAUGAAAGUGAAGGUCGACCUCAGCGUCGACCGAGGGAGGAUGGUUAGUUUUACGAAGCUAGCCCGCACUCCCGGGGCGUCUCGUGCUCAUUACGAGCAGAGGCGCACCUAGAGCGUACACGUUGGGACCCGAAAGAUGGUGAACUAUGCCUGGUCAGGACGAAGUCAGGGGAAACCCUGAUGGAGGUCCGUAGCGAUUCUGACGUGCAAAUCGAUCGUCGGAACUGGGUAUAGGGGCGAAAGACUAAUCGAACCAUC